Lolium rigidum is the source of this 1265-nucleotide long non-coding RNA. RefSeq lists it as uncharacterized. The transcript has 2 exons. The record is from RefSeq and is a predicted model, not a curated record. NCBI's taxonomy places the organism in Eukaryota, Viridiplantae, Streptophyta, Magnoliopsida, Poales, Poaceae.
GUUGUGUAAUUUUAUCUGCUUUCUACUUUCCUCCUUUCUAAAGUUGGUGGUUUAUAAGCCUAACCUCAAAUUAACAUGGCAAAAGUUGAGUUCAUUAAUUCACUUGAUAGACGUGAUAGAAAUCAAAUAAUGUUGUAUCUUUAUCUGAUCAUUGCUACAGUUUGCCUUCUAUUUGUUUCAGAUUAUAUUUCUUUUAUUGGAUGCACAAAUAACACUGCUCAUUAUAUUAUAAAGAGAUAUUUUUGCAAGAAAAAUUCUAGAACCGACAAUUAGUUUGGGAGUAAUUAAUAAUUAUAGAACUACUGGAGAAUACUUCUAUUCGAGGUGCAAGACAUUUUUACAAAAGGAGAUGACUUUUGAGUUUUUCCCAUGCAAGUUAAUUAUAGGUUUUUUUAUUGGAUUACUAGCUGAACAUAAUUCAAUUUUAGUCUGCCCAUGAGUUGGCUGUAAUUUGGGUAUGAUGGUGCAAACUAAUCAAUGCAGCAGGCAAUAGCGAAUUCACAACAACAGCUAGGAAAGCAAUAGUCUGCAUUUCUCUUUCGUACUGACUAAAGAGUAGCAAAUAUAUCAGUAUACAACAGCAAAAUUGUAUGUAAUGCAAAAUCCAGCAGCAAUGCAUGAAGCGAUCAACCCAGCUUGGUAUAGCAUCCCCGGCCGCCUGUUGCUCCUCUUCACCGCAUCCCCGGAACUUCACCGCAUCCCAGAAAUUCAAUAUUCAGAUUAAGUACUUAAGAUGAUCUUAUAGUUUUGAGAUAUUAUGCGGCUAUUUUUUCUAUGAUAUGUAAUCUAUGUUAAAUGGCAGCUCCAGCAGCGGCAUCGCACGUGAAGGGCAUGCGAUGGUGAACACUCUCAAGUGCCCUCUGCUAUAUUUUAUACCAGGGAGACAAGCUGGAGCUCGAUGAGCUUGAUAUUACUUGAUGAGAACAUGACGUAAUCUCUUCAUGAGGGAGAGAAUAACGUUCAAUUAGUAGCAACAAAGCGCGGUUCAUCAAUUGUGGAAGACAAGUGUAUGUAGUAUGUACCCGCACCCGUAAUAUGUAUUGAUUAUUCAUUCGGCUUCAAUUGGUUAUUUGGUUUUUGUUUUGUUACAUGAACAAGAAAUUAAGACACUUGAGAGUUGAGAAGAACUGUAAUUUGUAUGCACCCAUAGAUUUCACAGGCCGUUGUUGACACUGACAUUGAAGUUGUUGUUGUGCUACAAGGACUUGGUACCAAAUCCUGAAUGGAACACUUAUUGAGACUUAUUUCUGUAAGUGUUAGUUUUA